RNAcentral lists this ribosomal RNA (497 nucleotides) under uncultured bacterium. RNAcentral describes it as "partial 16S ribosomal RNA". It matches the Rfam family "Bacterial small subunit ribosomal RNA", at positions 28 to 507 of the family's 1533-position model. The record is from RNAcentral.
GAUGAACGCUGGCGGCGUGCCUAAUACAUGCAAGUCGAGCGAACAGACGAGGAGCUUGCUCCUCUGACGUUAGCGGCGGACGGGUGAGUAACACGUGGAAAACCUACCUAUAAGACUGGGAUAACUUCGGGAAACCGGAGCUAAUACCGGAUAAUAUAUUGAACCGCAUGGUUCAUUAGUGAAAGACGGUUUUGCUGUAACUUAUAGAUGGAUCCGCGCCGCAUUAGCUAGUUGGUAAGGUAACGGCUUACCAAGGCGACGAUGCGUAGCCGACCUGAGAGGGUGAUCGGCCACACUGGAACUGAGACACGGUCCAGACUCCUACGGGAGGCAGCAGUAGGGAAUCUUCCGCAAUGGGCGAAAGCCUGACGGAGCAACGCCGCGUGAGUGAUGAAGGUCUUCGGAUCGUAAAACUCUGUUAUUAGGGAAGAACAAAUGUGUAAGUAACUAUGCACGUCUUGACGGUACCUAAUCAGAAAGCCACGGCUAACUACGUG